UGAGGGGUAAAUAUUAAAGACUUAGAACAAAAUAAGGGCAAAAAGUAAAAAUGACUCACAUUCAUCUUAUCAUAUAAUUUUACUGUAAUUUGAUCAAUCGAGUGUUUCUACUGUGUGUAUCUUUUCAAUUGGAAAUAAGAAAUGGAGGAUAAAAUCAGCUACGACGAUGGUCAAGAAUUUAAGCUGUUGCUCUCAUGUCCUUCUGGUUUAUCUCCUUCACAGAUGUCAGUUGUUUUUGACAAAACAUAUGAUAGGAUUCCACAUCUUGAUCCUACUCUGGAGCACUCCAUUUCCAAGAUAUGGGAUGCAAGAGUUCAGCAAAGCUCAUCACUUUUCAAUGGAACAAAGUUCAGGUAUGGUGGAUACAACUUCGAUGUAGGGAAUGAUCCCAAGCAACAGUCUCAUGUUUCCCUUCAUCUUGGUCUGACAGAUUAUAGGACAUUCGUGGGAACAAAUUUAAGCUCUAUGUGGAAGAGAUUUCUUGUUUCGUCUGAAGAUGAUUGUAUACAGUGUCAGCACACAGCAAGUCCUCUUGGUAAUGGUGCAGUUGUGGAGACUUCUGACAGAAGAAUACUUGUGCUUCAGAGAAGUAAUAAAGUUGGAGAAUUCCCUGGAUAUUUUGUUUUUCCUGGAGGCCACCCCGAGCCCCAAGAAGUCGGAAUAAUGUCCCGUGAAGGCUUGCAUGAGCUGAACCAGUGUCAGAUGAUUAACGGCAAAGUUUCUCAGGAAAUGUUUGACAGCAUUGUCCGUGAAGUUGUUGAAGAAGUUGGAGCUCCUGCAGAUACCCUUCCCCAUCUUUAUUGGUUUAUCCCGCAGAGUAUUGAAUGUUCGACCAACUGCUUUUUUCUUCAUCAAAUGCAAUCUUCCGUCAGAUGAAAUUCAACAACUAUAUUCUAGUGCACAGGAUGGGUUCGAGUCAACUCAGCUUUAUGCUGUUUCAAUGAGUGAGUUGGAGGACAUGACUUCUAAAAUGCCCGGCUGCCACAGGGGAGGCUUUGCCCUCUACAAGUUAAUGGUACAACACGCGAGUGAUAGCUAAUCUCAUCGUUUGCUGACUGAGGAUUUUAUAACCUUAACUCUUGUAUGCCUGAUUUAUACAUGUUUCUUUUGUAGUCGUUGAUGUACGAUCGCAUGCUAUGCUAUUCUAUUGGUCAAAAGAAAACUUCCCAUGGAAAUCUAUAUGAGCUAGCAUGUAGAUAUGCCGCCAUUUAGUCUUAUUGAAUUGCAGGCAAACUUGAUAUUGUCACUUGAUUUAUUCAGAAUGCUGUAUAAUCCAAUUAUUGAAUGGCUAUAGUUCAUAAAU
Molecule: RNA transcript, 1303 nt
Organism: Lycium ferocissimum
Lineage: Eukaryota; Viridiplantae; Streptophyta; Magnoliopsida; Solanales; Solanaceae
Gene name: nudix hydrolase 9
Exons: 9
Source: RefSeq, a predicted model, not a curated record